Molecule: ribosomal RNA, 257 nt
Filed under: uncultured bacterium
Lineage: Bacteria
Description: partial 16S ribosomal RNA
Rfam family: Bacterial small subunit ribosomal RNA
Source: RNAcentral
UACGAACUGUGCAAACGUUAUUCGGAUUCACUGGGCUUAAAGGGUGCGUAGGCGGCCAUGUAAGUAGGGUGUGAAAUCCCCCGGCUUAACCGGGGAACUGCGCCCUAAACUGUGUGGCUUGAGUGAGAUAGGGGUGUGUGGAACUUCCGGUGGAGCGGUGAAAUGUGUUGAUAUCGGAAGGAACGCCGGUGGCGAAAGCGAACACACUGGGGUCUCAACUGACGCUGAGGGCACGAAAAGCCAGGGGAGCGAACGGG